UCAUCACAGAUCACGGAGGGAAGCAGGAACCUGUUCAUCAUGUUCACUUUUGUACUUGUAUUGCUGACUUUAACUCAAGGUAGCAGAGCUAAAGAUGCCAUCACUCCAUACAGUGAUGCAGCAUUUGCUACUGAGACUGAGAGUGUAAAACUUUCUUGUAACUACACUGGUUCUGUUGAGAGUCUUCACUGGUAUCGACAAUAUCCAGGUUCACCACCACAGUUCCUCAUACUGGACUACUAUGGAACAAAGACUCAAGCUGAUCCUCCAGUUUCUGGAAUAUCCAUUAGCCACAGAAAAGAAGCCAGUAGUGUGGAUCUGGAGAUCUCCUCUGCUAAAGUGACAGACUCUGCUGUGUAUUACUGUGCUCUGAGGCCCACAGUCACAGGAAACACUCCACACACCAUACAAAAACCUGAAAAACUUACAGCACAAAUUUGCAAUGAUGUAGCCAUCUUGACAAUAUAUAAUUGAGCUUUUGAAUAACUAUUUGAUUAGUAAUUUACUGUGAGCUUUUUAUUAAAAAAUA
Non-coding RNA from Pimephales promelas (fathead minnow), 529 nucleotides. NCBI's taxonomy places the organism in Eukaryota, Metazoa, Chordata, Actinopteri, Cypriniformes, Leuciscidae. The record is from the annotation of a RefSeq genome assembly.